CGCGGCCUAUCAGCUUGUUGGUGAGGUAACGGCUCACCAAGGCAGUGACGGGUAGCUGGUCUGAGAGGACGAUCAGCCACACUGGGACUGAGACACGGCCCAGACUCCUACGGGAGGCAGCAGCAGGGAAUUUUGCACAAUGGGCGCAAGCCUGAUGCAGCGACGCCGCGUGGGGGAUGAAUGCCUUCGGGUUGUAAACCCCUUUCAGGAGGGACGAAGCGAAAGUGACGGUACCUCCAGAAGAAGCCCCGGCCAACUACGUGCCAGCAGCCGCGGUAAUACGUAGGGGGCGAGCGUUGUCCGGAUUUAUUGGGCGUAAAGAGCUCGUAGGCGGCUCAACAAGUCGGCCGUGAAAGCCUGAGGCUCAACCUCAGGACGCCGGUCGAAACUGUUGUGGCUAGGGUUCGGUAGAGGAGAGUGGAAUUCCCGGUGUAGCGGUGAAAUGCGCAGAUAUCGGGAGGAACACCAGUAGCGAAGGCGGCUCUCUGGGCCGACACCGACGCUGAGGAGCGAAAGCUAGGGGAGCAAACAGGAUUAGAUACCCUGGUAGUCCACGCCGUAAACGAUGGGUACUAGGUGUUGGGAGGAUUGACCCUUUCAGUGCCGACGCUAACGCAUUAAGUACCCCGCCUGGGGAGUACGG
RNAcentral lists this ribosomal RNA (643 nucleotides) under uncultured Actinomycetes bacterium. Its description in RNAcentral is "bacterial SSU rRNA". It matches the Rfam family "Bacterial small subunit ribosomal RNA", at positions 232 to 885 of the family's 1533-position model. The record is from RNAcentral. Lineage: Bacteria; Bacillati; Actinomycetota; Actinomycetes.